Molecule: ribosomal RNA, 1466 nt
Filed under: Hugenholtzia roseola
Lineage: Bacteria; Pseudomonadati; Bacteroidota; Cytophagia; Cytophagales; Bernardetiaceae
Description: bacterial SSU rRNA
Rfam family: Bacterial small subunit ribosomal RNA
Source: RNAcentral
NUUACAACGGAGAGUUUGAUCCUGGCUCAGGAUGAACGCUAGCGGCAGGCCUAAUACAUGCAAGUCGAACGAAGUAGCANNACUUAGUGGCGCACGGGUGCGUAACGCGUAUGCAACCUACCUUAUAUUGGGAAAUAGCCCAGGGAAACUUGGAUUAAUGUCCCAUAGCACUGCGAGAUGGCAUCAUUUUGCAGUUAAAGCUCUGGCGAUAUAAGAUGGGCAUGCGUCUGAUUAGUUUGUUGGUGAGGUAACGGCUCACNAAGACUACGAUCAGUAGGGGGUCUGAGAGGAUGAUCCCCCACACUGGCACUGAGAUACGGGCCAGACUCCUACGGGAGGCAGCAGUAGGGAAUAUUGGUCAAUGGGCGAAAGCCUNAACCAGCCAUGCCGCGUGUCAGAUGAAGGUCCUCUGGAUUGUAAAUGACUUUUCUACGGGAAGAAUGAGCGUCUGCGGACGGAAGUUGACGGUACCGUAGGAAUAAGCACCGGCUAACUACGUGCCAGCAGCCNCGGNNAUACGUAGGGUGCNAGCGUUGUCCGGAUUUACUGGGUUUAAAGGGUACGUAGGCGGUUGUGCCAAGUCUGGGGUGAAAGUUUGCAGCUCAACUGUAAAAUUGCCUUGGAUACUGGUCGGCUAGAGUAGUGGAGCGGUNNCUNNNAUUUAUAGUGUAGCGGUGAAAUGCUUAGAUACUAUGAGGAACACCAAUUGCGAAGGCAGGUCACUGGUCACUAACUGACGCUGAGGUACGAAAGUGUGGGGAUCAAACAGGAUUAGAUACCCUNGUAGUCCACACUGUAAACGAUGGUUACUCGGUNCGUGCCGCUUCGGUGGUGCGUGCCUGAGCGAAAGCGUUAAGUAACCCACCUGGGGAGUACGCCCGCAAGGGUGAAACUCAAAGGAAUUGACGGGGGUCNGCACAAGCGGUGGAGCAUGUGGUUUAAUUCGAUGAUACGCGAGGAACCUUACCUGGGAUAGAAUGUGAGAGACCGCUGCCGAAAGGUGGCUUCCCGCAAGGGCUCAAAACAAGGUGCUGCAUGGCUGUCGUCAGUUCGUGCCGUGAGGUGUUGGGUUAAGUCCCGCAACGAACGCAACCCCUAUUGUUAGUUGCCAGCGAGUAAUGUCGGGGACUCUAACAAGACUGCCUACGCAAGUAGUGAGGAAGGAGGGGACGACGUCAAGUCAUCAUGGCCCUUACACCCAGGGCUACACACGUGCUACAAUGGAUGAUACAAAGGGUUGCUAGACAGCGAUGUUCGGCUAAUCCCAAAAAGUCAUUCUCAGUUCGGAUUGAAGUCUGCAACUCGACUUCAUGAAGUUGGAAUCGCUAGUAAUCGCGCAUCAGCAACGGCGCGGUNAAUACGUUCCCNGACNUUGUACACACCGCNCNUCAAGNCAUGGAAGUUGGGUGCGCCUGAAGACAGUGGCCGUCAUAGGAGCUGUUUAGGGCNAAACCAGUAANUGGGGC